Long non-coding RNA from Cyprinus carpio (common carp), 1793 nucleotides. RefSeq lists it as uncharacterized. The record is from RefSeq and is a predicted model, not a curated record. The transcript has 3 exons. NCBI's taxonomy places the organism in Eukaryota, Metazoa, Chordata, Actinopteri, Cypriniformes, Cyprinidae.
CUGAGCAGAUGACAGUUAAGCAGAUUAAGUUAACAGAUAAGUAGAUGACGUAAGGAGCCAGGGAGCUUGAUACACACAAGAGGUGGUGGUGGUUUUAUACGGGGCUUGAUUGGUGUUGACAGGUGGAGUGCAUCAAUAUUCAGGUGAUUGUGAAUGAGUAGGAGGAGCUGAAGUAUAUGGCGUUGCUGUUAAUUCUGUGACAGUAACCCUUCCUCCACGGGCAGAUCCAUAAGCCCGCAGGACAAUGCGACAAAGAUUGCCAUGCCCCUGGGUGCUGGACGAUCAGGAUGAUGAGUUUUGAACUCUGUCAAUAAUUUAGGAUCAAGGUUGUCAUCACAUGCUACCCAAUGAUCUCUCCUAUGGCCCGAAUCCCUCCCAGUCAACCAGAUAUUCCAAGUGGCUGCCUCAUUACCAGGAGUCCAGAAUGGUGUUGACUCUGUAGAUGUUUUGUUCCUUAAUGAUCUCUCAAGGAGGAGGAAGGAUGUCAGGCUCGCCAGAUCCUGUGGGAGGAGAGACCAAAGGGUUAGUGAACGGUUUGAGGAGUGAGACAUAGAGGGACCUGCUUCUCUUGGUGGUGAUGUUCGGCCAGGUUCCGGGAGUAGAUAAGGAGAUUGUCAAUGUAUACGACGAAGAACCGAUGGAGGAACUCCCGGAACACCUCAUUCAUUGGCAGAUGGAGGAUCCGACUGAGCUUGUAAGCGCUACACAGGUCAAGUUUAGAGAAGUUGAGAGCCCCACGAAGCUGUUCCAGGGUGACUGGGACCAGAGGAAGUGGGUAGCAAUAUUUGACAGUUUUGAGUUCAGGAUAUGCUAAUUGAUGCAUGGCUUCAAGCCUCCAUCCUUCUUGCUGACUAAAAAGAAGCUGAAUGCUGCUGGUGAAGUACAAGAGUGGAUAAAUUCCUGCUUGAGAGUCUCCUCGAUUUACUCCUCCAUGGCCUUCUGUUCCGGGAUGGACAGUGGGUAUACUCUACCCUUGGGUAGCAUGGCCCCAGGCAGCAGGUCAAUUGUGCAGUCCCAUGGCUGAAGAGGUGCUAAUUUUGUUGCUGCCUGCUUUCUGAAGACACCCUGGAAUGCCCUGUAGGCAGGUGGAAUCUCAGGAGUCUCCGAGGUUACUGGACUCUCCAUUAUUGUGGAACAAAUGGUCACUUCACUAUUUGUGGAUGAGGAUGGAGCUGUAGAUAACUUCUGAACAGAAGACAUGCAGUUUUGGAGACGGUCAUCACUCCACUGGAGGAUAUUACCAGUUUUCCACUUGACUUGAGGGAAAUGUUGAGUCAGCCAAAGGUGUUCCAUGAUGAUAUCAGCAGUAGAACCAUCCAGCACCAGAAAGAAGAAUUCCCGAUGCAAACAGCCAAUGCGGAGCAUUAUGUUAGGGCAGCAGUAUAGGAUCUUGCUUAUGCCCAGCGGUUUUCCCAGGAUAGUGUGAAUGUUGAAAGCAGGUUUUCCUCUUAAUGUUUAAAUGUCGUAAUAGAUUCAGCGAGAUGAAGUUCCUGGACGAUCCUUAGUCGAGGAGGACUUGCGCUGAAACAGUAUCCAGUAAUCAGUAUUUGGGUGAUUGUGAACAAGUGGGACUUCCUGACACUUGCAUUAUACCAACUUAAAAUGUAAAAAUAAUUUUGUCAACUAUGCCUUAGUAAUAAUCAUACUUAAAAUCAAUAUAAUGUACAGUUUUACUUGUUUUUACUUGUGAAAAAAUACAUUUUUAUUUCACUUUUAAAUACACAACAUGAUACAUUGUUUGUAACAGGCUACUAUUUAACUGUACUUUCCACAAGCAUUUCAACAUUGUAUCA